RNAcentral lists this ribosomal RNA (257 nucleotides) under uncultured bacterium. RNAcentral's name for it is "partial 16S ribosomal RNA". It matches the Rfam family "Bacterial small subunit ribosomal RNA", at positions 417 to 665 of the family's 1533-position model. The record is from RNAcentral.
UUAUGGUUGUAAAGCACUUUACCCGAGGAGGAGGCUACUGAGACUAAUACUCUUGGAUAGUGGACGUUACUCGCAGAAUAAGCACCGGCUAACUCUGUGCCAGCAGCCGCGGUAAUACAGAGGGUGCGAGCGUUAAUCGGAUUUACUGGGCGUAAAGCGUGCGUAGGCGGCUUUUUAAGUCGGAUGUGAAAUCCCCGAUCUUAACUUGGGAAUUGCAUUCGAUACUGGGAAGCUAGAGUAUGGGAGAGGAUGGUAGA